RNAcentral lists this ribosomal RNA (484 nucleotides) under uncultured bacterium. RNAcentral describes it as "partial 16S ribosomal RNA". It matches the Rfam family "Bacterial small subunit ribosomal RNA", at positions 30 to 507 of the family's 1533-position model. The record is from RNAcentral.
AUUGAACGCUGGCGGCAGGCCUAACACAUGCAAGUCGAGCGGAUGAAGAGAGCUUGCUCCUGGAUUCAGCGGCGGACGGGUGAGUAAUGCCUAGGAAUCUGCCUGGUAGUGGGUGAUAACGUCCGGAAACGGGCGCUAAUACCGCAUUCGUCCUGAGGGAGAAAGUGGGGGAUCUUCGGACCUCACGCUAUCAGAUGAUCCUAGGUCGGAUUAGCUAGUUGGUGGGGUAAAGGCCUACCAAGGCGACGAUCCGUAACUGGUCUGAGAGGAUGAUCAGUCACACUGGAACUGAGACACGGUCCAGACUCCUACGGGAGGCAGCAGUGGGGAAUAUUGGACAAUGGGCGAAAGCCUGAUCCAGCCAUGCCGCGUGUGUGAAGAAGGUCUUCGGAUUGUAAAGCACUUUAAGUUGGGAGGAAGGGCAGUAAGUUAAUACCUUGCUGUUCUGACGGUACCCACAGAAUAAGCACCGGCUAACUUCGUG